RNAcentral lists this unclassified non-coding RNA (330 nucleotides) under fungal sp. RNAcentral's name for it is "partial internal transcribed spacer region". The stretch from base 1 to 46 matches the Rfam family "Eukaryotic small subunit ribosomal RNA", at positions 1786 to 1831 of the family's 1831-position model. Lineage: Eukaryota; Fungi. The record is from RNAcentral.
AAGUCGUAACAAGGUUUCCGUAGGUGAACCUGCGGAAGGAUCAUUAUUAAUACUUGGCUAACACCAGUAAUUCAUGUGCAAAACAACCUGACGCUGCCAGUACUUGCAUGGUGUCUGCCCUUGGGUAGGCAUAUUAUUCAUACCUGGCAGCAGCCCUCAUUGACUUGUCAUUGUGGGCAAACGGGCUUCCCUCAAACUCUUGGGUAAGAGGUAGCCUGCAACUUUUAUACAUCAGUCUUGAUAAUCCGUCAUCAGGGAGUAGCUGCAAGGCACUACCUGCUCUGACAUUAAAAGGGUAAAAAACUUUUAGCAACGGAUCUCUAGGCUCUC